RNAcentral lists this non-coding RNA (64 nucleotides) under unclassified sequences. The record is from RNAcentral.
CCCCUAAUGCGACCAGACCACGACGGUCUGCCGGUCCCAAGUCCGGAUGAACGCAGAGGGGGAA